This 623-nucleotide ribosomal RNA is filed under the name uncultured bacterium. RNAcentral's name for it is "bacterial SSU rRNA". It matches the Rfam family "Bacterial small subunit ribosomal RNA", at positions 88 to 746 of the family's 1533-position model. The record is from RNAcentral.
UUGCUGAGUGGCGGACGGGUGAGUAACGCGUGGAUACCUGCCUCACACUGGGGGAUAACAGUUAGAAAUGACUGCUAAUACCGCAUAAGACCGCAUGGUAAAAACUCCGGUGGUGUGAGAUGGAUCCGCGUCUGAUUAGCCAGUUGGCGGGGUAACGGCCCACCAAAGCGACGAUCAGUAGCCGACCUGAGAGGGUGACCGGCCACAUUGGGACUGAGACACGGCCCAAACUCCUACGGGAGGCAGCAGUGGGGAAUAUUGCACAAUGGGCGAAAGCCUGAUGCAGCGACGCCGCGUGAGUGAAGAAGUAUUUCGGUAUGUAAAGCUCUAUCAGCAGGGAAGAAAGUGACGGUACCUGAAUAAGAAGCCCCGGCUAACUACGUGCCAGCAGCCGCGGUAAUACGUAGGGGGCAAGCGUUAUCCGGAUUUACUGGGUGUAAAGGGAGCGUAGACGGCGAAGCAAGUCUGAAGUGAAAACCCAGGGCUCAACCCUGGGAGUGCUUUGGAAACUGUUUUGCUAGAGUGUCGGAGAGGUAAGUGGAAUUCCUAGUGUAGCGGUGAAAUGCGUAGAUAUUAGGAGGAACACCAGUGGCGAAGGCGGCUUACUGGACGAUAACUGACGU